GCUGGGUGUGGUGGUGCACACCUGUAAUCCCAGCUACUUGGGAGGCUGAGGUGGGAGGAUCGCUUGAGUCCAGGAGGUUGAGGCUGCAGUGAGCUAUGAUUGAACCACUGCACUCCAGCCUGGGCAAAGAGUGAAAUCUCAUUCCAA
This is an unclassified non-coding RNA of Pongo abelii (Sumatran orangutan), 147 nucleotides long. It matches the Rfam family "Metazoan signal recognition particle RNA". Rfam says of the family: The signal recognition particle (SRP) is a universally conserved ribonucleoprotein. Lineage: Eukaryota; Metazoa; Chordata; Mammalia; Primates; Hominidae. The record is from Ensembl.